AGAGAACCUAUUACAGAUGCAUAUAUCUUGAAGUGAGAUGUUAUUUCCAGAAUAUUAGAUGCUGAUUUUAUUCUCAUGAUUAAUAUUAUUUUCAUCAAAGGAAAUUUCUGCAAGGAUGUUCUACUGCAGAGAAUUAAAGACUGCCAGUUAGGACAUCUACUUUGAAAGCACCCCAAAACCAGACCCACUCCAUGAAGCCUGGAUCUGUACUGCUGUCUCAGGAAGGUCUGGAGCUUCUGAAUUUGAAGAAAUAAUAAAAACACAGGAGUCCAUGCUAGGAGAAAAGCUGUUCUGUACAGCACAAUAACCCUGUCAGGAAAUAGAAGACAAAGUCCUGCCUGACCUAAAGCUGUGGAAAACCUUGAAAUCACAAGAAAAGGCUCAUUGGCAGAUUCAGAGAAACAAGAGGAUAAACGUAAAACUGAUCUUCCAUCCGCACAAUCACACCUUAGAGGGCCCAAGAGAAAGUUCCAGUCAAAUCCAUGUUCACUCAGGUACCCCUGCCCUGCUCUUUGCAGUGUCUUGCACAAAUAAACUCUCUGAAUCUGAGCUGGACUUCCUCUGUACCUCCCAGAAUCCAACUUCGCAGAGCUUCUGUUUUGCUUUCAGAGGCUGUUCUGGCAGCAGAGAUGGAUGGUAACUUAUAUCCAAAAGUUAAAAGAAUCAAACCUUUUCAAGCCUGCAGAAUUGCAAGACUUAAGAGUUAGGACCCUGCAACUGCUGGUUUAAAAUGUGCUUCCUCACUGAUGUGCUUUAGGCAGCAAUGUUUGGACCUUUGCUGACGUUGGCUGGGUCAGCAGGCAGCUGCUGUGAAUCACCUCUGAGGUGCUCAGUUCUCCCUGUCCACUGAGGGAGCCCAGGCUCAUCUUGAAAUACAUGUAUUUUUGAACCCCACACUUUUCAUAGAUGAAAGUGGUGUGAACAUUCCUGUUUGUGUCAAACUGCACUCCGAAUGCAUAUAUUGACUUUACUGCAGUAGCUUGGGCUUUCCACCACUCAAUGAGACCUUGGUGUCCUAUGAGUUUCAUGCAGAUGAACAUCCAAAUCAUUGUGCAGCAUCGUGUCCGUGAACUUCCAGAGUUUGCAUUAAAAACUGACAGAACAUCAGAGUGCCAGAAGCUUCUCAUAUUGUGGCUCUGAAGGUCUGAGUAACACAGUGUCCAAAACAGAGCUAAAAGAAAACAGGCUACAAAGAAGAAAAGAAAAGGAAGGCUGCUUUGAUUCUGGAAGAUACAACCAUUCAGAUGCCUGAGCAACCUAAGACAAACCAAGCAAAGCCACAGGAAGAAUUAAAGAAGUAAACAAACUCAAAAAGAGAUAGUUACGGACAGAAGACAACACAGCUGUACUAAGUAGUUAAAUUCUACUCUUAACCCAGUAUCCUUUCUGCAACACAGUACAAAACCAGUUGCCAAGGCAGGAUUCUGCAAAUAAGUUAAAAGAGGGGGCUGACCAAUCCAGCGGAUUACUCCAUAAAACGGAGGAUUUUCUUUAACUUCAGCCAAGGAACCUGCUUCAAGACCAUGUGAGUUCCCGACUGGGCCUGCUGUUGAUGGACUCUCCUGGUUAGCCGUAGUAU
This is a long non-coding RNA of Grus americana (Whooping crane), 1579 nucleotides long. RefSeq lists it as uncharacterized. The record is from RefSeq and is a predicted model, not a curated record. The transcript is spliced from 11 exons. Lineage: Eukaryota; Metazoa; Chordata; Aves; Gruiformes; Gruidae.